UACGUAGGGGACAAGCGUUAUCCGGAUUUACUGGGUGUAAAGGGUACGUAGGCGGUUUAAUAAGUCAGGUGUGAAAGCCCGUAGCUCAACUACGGAUGUGCACUUGAAACUAUUGAACUAGAGUACAGGAGAGGAAAGCGGAAUUCCUAGUGUAGCGGUGAAAUGCGUAGAUAUUAGGAAGAACAUCAGUGGCGAAGGCGGCUUUCUGGACUGUAACUGACGCUGAGGUACGAAAGCAUGGGGAGCGAACAGG
RNAcentral lists this ribosomal RNA (253 nucleotides) under uncultured bacterium. Its description in RNAcentral is "partial 16S ribosomal RNA". It matches the Rfam family "Bacterial small subunit ribosomal RNA", at positions 524 to 776 of the family's 1533-position model. The record is from RNAcentral.